GGGGAGCGGCAGACGGGUGAGUAACGCGUGGGAAUCUACCCAUCUCUACGGAAUAACGCAUGGAAACGUGUGCUAAUACCGUAUACGUCCUUCGGGAGAAAGAUUUAUCGGAGAUGGAUGAGCCCGCGUUGGAUUAGCUAGUUGGUGGGGUAAAGGCCUACCAAGGCGACGAUCCAUAGCUGGUCUGAGAGGAUGAUCAGCCACACUGGGACUGAGACACGGCCCAGACUCCUACGGGAGGCAGCAGUGGGGAAUAUUGGACAAUGGGCGCAAGCCUGAUCCAGCCAUGCCGCGUGAGUGAUGAAGGCCCUAGGGUUGUAAAGCUCUUUCACCGGUGAAGAUAAUGACGGUAACCGGAGAAGAAGCCCCGGCUAACUUCGUGCCAGUCGCCGCGGUAA
Molecule: ribosomal RNA, 398 nt
Filed under: uncultured Hyphomicrobiales bacterium
Lineage: Bacteria; Pseudomonadati; Pseudomonadota; Alphaproteobacteria; Hyphomicrobiales
Description: bacterial SSU rRNA
Rfam family: Bacterial small subunit ribosomal RNA
Source: RNAcentral